UUAAAGCAGAAAUCUGAUUUUUCAUGUGGUUCAUCAAAUGUGUUACAUUGAAGUAUUUAUCAAGUAUGAAAAUAUAGCAUUCACUUUGAAUUAUAGCACAGGUAUCUUCCCCAAAUGCUGUAAGGUGUCAAGGGCCUUGCAGUUGUGUUGCACUGCCUUUCUCAUCAUAGAGAUCUCAGAAUUCAAUAGGCUCAUAGCCAGGUUACUAGCAUUUAAAGCUUAUGAAAGUUGUUCGAUAUGGUCAAUUACAUCCUCCAACCCCAUUGAAGGGGCACACACACACAACACACAAGCUGCUAAAUGGUCAUGCCAGUAGAAUACAGAUCUUUGACCCACUGGAAUCAUACCAAUGGUAGAUUGGUUGGGGUUACCUCUAAUUUGUUAACACGUAUGACCUUAAAUUCAUGGGAAUCCCAGGCUACACCUUUGUAUCCAUCCCUGUAGAUGUCAGGCCAUAAAUUAGUGCCACAAAUCCACUGAGUUCCACACCAAUCACUCUCUCUAAGAGUAAUAAUAGGCAUAGUUCAUAAAGCACCCAGCCUUGUCUCAUAGUUACCAGGUUGGUCAUUUUUAGUAUGAUUUAACUAUUCCCAACCUAGAGGAGCCUUUAAACUUAAAUGACCGUAGCCUGGUGUUAACCAUGUAGAUCCACCCUAUAAUUGUGGGAGUUUUCCUUUUGAUAGAUGAGAGGUUAAUUUUUUCUAUUGAGACUUAGCUUGUCACUUUGCUUGAGUUUGAGAGACCCUAAGAGAAAACUUAAAUCUAUGGACAGCAUCAGAGCAGGUAUUAUUAAUUGGCCAUGUGAGAGGAUCUCAUCCAGUAAUAUCAUGAAUAGAUAGAACAGGACUGAACACUCAUCUAAAAUAAAUUUCCUAGGGGGUAUCCAAUCAGAGCCCUAGAGAACAGAAAUCCACCAAGGUAAUGCAGAAGUACUAGGUACAGGUAUUUGGCCACAACCCAACAAUUGGAUUGAGUUUUAAACUAGCAUAGAAUCAAGUCAAUGAUAGAAAACAUGUGAUUGAUAGUCUUAGGUCCAAGGAUCAAGAAAACAUUAUAAAUGAUUGUAAAAGUCAGAUCAGCAUCUUGGGCAAGCAGUCUACUUCUGAUGUUGUCUUCUUCUCAUCCUCACGUAUUGUAGUUUCCUCUGAGCUUUAUUUUAAGUAUUUAGGACCUUACUUACCCAGACAGGAAUUGAACCAAAGCCUCCCUGCAUUGGAAGGCAGAGUCUUAACCACUGUACCACUGGGUAAGUCCUGAUAACUUUGCUUCUGAAGUAUCUUCUCCAUCAUUCCUCUCUUACUCAUUUAUCUCCCUGAAAUGAAGCCUCUCUCCUUCCAUUCCCAACUUUCUCACUCAAGUCACCAAUGGAGCUAUCAGAAACCCAUUUCAAUUGGAUGUUUCCCAGGCCUUAUCUUUCUAGAUAAUCUGAGUUCCCCUAAAAGUAGAACCUGAGGCAAGAAUUCGAGUGUAAGUGGUUUGUUUGCAAGGAGAUUCCAGGAAAUACAGGUAAAGAAGUGAAGAAGUGAGAAGGCAAGGGAAGAAAGUCAACACAGAGUGUGUUAUUAAACAAGUCAGUGUGGUGUGCAACCAGAACUGAAUCCUGUUCCAGGGAACUCUGGGAAGUGGUGUAGAAUCUGAAUCUCAGAGUUACAUUGCUCAAGGGGCAAGGUAGCUGAAAUAGUUGUACACCAGCUUCUGGCAACCAUCAGCUGAUGGCUAUUUGAGGGGAAGUGGCAUGCCUUAAUUCCCUGGCACUUCCAGCCCUCCAUGUCAAUGGACAGAGCAAGAAGCUGGAAACCAGAGAAAGUCCAGGAUCAAAGAGAUGCAGGUUCUGGCAGUUGGAAACCUGGCUGUAUACACUGGUAAGAGCUGAGGAAAUUCAGGCUCGGCACUGACAGCAUUUAUUAGACAUUUCUCUCUGUUGUUUCACAUUGCUGAUGACCCCUCUUGAAACGCCUCCUUCACUUGGAUACUGGUAAUACACCACCCCACUCCUUUUCUGCCCUCUUCUCUUGCCACUUCCUCCCAUUCUUCUUCAUAGGUUGCUUGGCCUUUUCCCCCUAUGUUUAGAUGCUGGUAACAAGCCAACUGUUUCUUCUCAUCCCACACAAUUUCCUCAUUGACCUCAACAUAUCCUUGACAUGAAGCCCAACUGUAGACUGAGUGGUCUAGAUGAAUAUUUCUAGCCCUGCUCUCCUUUGUAGAGUCCACAUCCAACAGCUUAUAAAUAUCUCCACUUGGAUUUCCCAUGAGCACCUUAACCCCAAUGGGUCCAAAACUCACCUCCCCAAAUCUGAUCAUCUUUCUAAAUCUCUCUCUCCCCUGAGUGCCCUCGCUCAAAAUGGCAGCACCAUCUAUCCAGUUUCCCAACCCACAGACCUGGGACCAUCUUUCCUUCACUCUUCCCUCUCCUUACCCCUGAGCCUAAUUGAUCACAAAGUCUUAGCCAUCCUAACUUCUAAUCUCUUUUCUGUGUUCUCUACGUUUAAGCACCACAGUCUAGGUAUAAAAGGGACUUCUAGAUUUCUCUCCUACAUUCUGUUGGCUCCAUUUGGGCUCAUUGCAGGCCCUGAAUCUUCGUUGACUUCAUUCCUGCCUCUUUGGUUUGGAAAGACCUCAGCUUCCCAGGCUCACCUCUAAGUGUUUGCUGUAGCCUUUGAGUUGAACUCAUCCCCAGGAUCUUGCCACUCUUGGUAGGAUUCUGGAUUGGUUGGGAUUAAGUUUGGUUUGGGUGGACUCCGGGUGUUGGUAAUGGACAGGGAGGCCUGGCGUGCUGUGGUUCAUGGGGUCACAAAGAGUCAGACACGACUGAGCGACUGAACUGAACUGAAGUUUGGUUGUGAGUUAUCAAAAUCCAGAAUAACUGGGCCUUAAAUAAGCUGGAAGUAUAAUCAUUUCUUAAAUUAAACAAAAAUCUCCAAAGGAAAUCAGUCCAGGGCUGGUGUGAUUCCCACCCCUACUCCCCCAACAACAGUGUUUCAAUUUCUGCUUCUGAGGGAACCCAAAUGGAAACAAAAGGAUAAAAACUCACUUGGAGCAUUUGACUGAGAUAUGCAGGUGACACAAACCUUACAUCAGAAAGCAAAGAAGAACUAAAGAGCCUCUUGGUGAAAGUGAAAGAGGAGAGUGAAAAAGUUGGCUUAAAACUCAACAUUCA
Long non-coding RNA from Bubalus bubalis (water buffalo), 3157 nucleotides. RefSeq lists it as uncharacterized. NCBI's taxonomy places the organism in Eukaryota, Metazoa, Chordata, Mammalia, Artiodactyla, Bovidae. The transcript is spliced from 2 exons. The record is from RefSeq and is a predicted model, not a curated record.